This 271-nucleotide ribosomal RNA is filed under the name uncultured bacterium. RNAcentral describes it as "partial 16S ribosomal RNA". It matches the Rfam family "Bacterial small subunit ribosomal RNA", at positions 524 to 794 of the family's 1533-position model. The record is from RNAcentral.
UACAGAGGGGGCAAGCGUUAUUCGGAAUUAUUGGGCGUAAAGGGCGCGUAGGCGGUUUUUUAAGUCGGAUGUGCAAUCCCCGAGCUCAACUUGGGAACUGCAUCCGAGACUGGAAGGCUAGAGUACUGGAGAGGUUGGUGGAAUUCCACGUGUAGCGGUGAAAUGCGUAGAGAUGUGGAGGAACACCAGUGGCGAAGGCGGCUCACUGGCCCGAUACUGACGCUGAGGCACGAAAGCGUGGGGAGCAAACAGGAUUAGAUACCCCAGUAGU